UGCCUGCAACUGGCCCACGUUGGAGCUUUUCCAUCUGAGAUCAACCAUUCUCUUUGACCAGUUAGUCUUGCCGGUGGCAUGAUGAAGAGGUGUAAAAGCGCGUGAGCAAAUGCUGGUGUACACGCGAAACCAAACUUUAAAUAGGGCACCGCUACCAAAGUUAGUGUGUGGCGAAAUGGAUCCGCGAUCAGUUGGUCAGGGGUUUUGCCGGAGGUGAAAGGUUGUAAACACGACAAUGAUCAUAAUACCGGACUUUAAAAUGGAACGAAACAGUAAAGUGUAUCAUGCAACGAGAAACUUCAUGUUCAAGUAUUUCCUGGCGUUCACAUGGAUCGGAUCAAUUUGUGUGUUUUGCA
Aedes aegypti (yellow fever mosquito) is the source of this 356-nucleotide long non-coding RNA. RefSeq lists it as uncharacterized. The transcript is spliced from 3 exons. The record is from RefSeq and is a predicted model, not a curated record. Lineage: Eukaryota; Metazoa; Arthropoda; Insecta; Diptera; Culicidae.